AUGCUUGAGAGAAGAGUGCAUCGAAGCAACGGUAAAUUGGCUAAAAGUGUAGAUACUCAGCACCGAUACAAAACGUCGCGUAAUCUAAAAGAAAACAACGCCAACGAAAAACCAUGAAACGAAACGAAAAAGAAGAAAAGUCUUGUGAACAAAUCCCAACUUUGACUUGGACAAUGUGAAAUACAUCUGAAAUUCUACAGAAGUCAGGAAUAUUCAUUCCAGAAUACAUUCGGGAACGGCAUAGCGGCAUAGAUUGGUAA
Drosophila montana is the source of this 260-nucleotide long non-coding RNA. RefSeq lists it as uncharacterized. The transcript has 4 exons. The record is from RefSeq and is a predicted model, not a curated record. NCBI's taxonomy places the organism in Eukaryota, Metazoa, Arthropoda, Insecta, Diptera, Drosophilidae.